Molecule: long non-coding RNA, 214 nt
Filed under: Setaria italica (foxtail millet)
Lineage: Eukaryota; Viridiplantae; Streptophyta; Magnoliopsida; Poales; Poaceae
Description: long non-coding RNA (SITA_LNC001242)
Source: RNAcentral
AUUAAACCGGGAAUCCUGCCAGCCAACUUCUUCUCAGGGAAAGACGCUCCUACGUAUGAGUUUUACAAUCCCUCUGCUGCAGCACGUCAAUUCGGCAUGGGUCAGCUGCCGAUUCAAGUGUACUUCGCUGGCCGAGCUAAGUUCAGAGAUGAGCUUACAACAGGUCUGGACUAUAGUCGGCUGCGAGACCGGGUCCCAGACUCCAACACUAUUG